RNAcentral lists this ribosomal RNA (474 nucleotides) under uncultured bacterium. Its description in RNAcentral is "bacterial SSU rRNA". It matches the Rfam family "Bacterial small subunit ribosomal RNA", at positions 30 to 504 of the family's 1533-position model. The record is from RNAcentral.
CGAACGCUGGCGGCGUGCUUAACACAUGCAAGUCGAACGGAAAGGCCUGCCACCUUGGUGGUGGGUACUCGAGUGGCGAACGGGUGAGUAACACGUGGGUGAUCUGCCCCGCACUGUGGGAUAAGCCUGGGAAACUGGGUCUAAUACCACAUACGACCAUGGCGUAGGGGUCAUGGUGGAAAGCUUUUGCGGUGUGGGAUGAGCCCGCGGCCUAUCAGCUUGUUGGUGGGGUAAUGGCCUACCAAGGCGGCGACGGGUAGCCGGCCUGAGAGGGUGGACGGCCACAUUGGGACUGAGACACGGCCCAGACUCCUACGGGAGGCAGCAGUGGGGAAUAUUGCACAAUGGGCGCAAGCCUGAUGCAGCGACGCCGCGUGGGGGAUGGAAGGCCUUCGGGUUGUAAACUCCUUUCGCCCGGGACGAAGCCCACCUGGUGGGUGACGGUACCGUGGAGAAGAAGCACCGGCUAACUAC